GUGCUCGCUUUGGCAGCACAUAUACUAAAAUUGGAACGAUACAGAGAUUAGCAUGGCCCCUGUGCAAGGAUGACAUGCAAAUUCAUGAAGCGUUCCAUAUUAAA
This 104-nucleotide small nuclear RNA is filed under the name Capra hircus (goat). Lineage: Eukaryota; Metazoa; Chordata; Mammalia; Artiodactyla; Bovidae. The record is from RNAcentral.